GUGGAGCUUGGUGACGAGAGCGGUGGGGGAGUGCUCUGGCCAGCCCUGCUGGGCGGGCAGUCCGGCCCCGGUUCACCCGAGCUUAAGCCUUGCAGCAAGAGAACUUCCACCUCGUUCUCCUGGCUUCAAGCCUCACUGUACAUCAGACCAGAGGCACGGAAGGGAGGGAGGAUGCGAGAUGACCGGCCCUUUGGCAACCUGACCAUCUCCUUAGCAGAGCCUUCGAAAGCCAGCUUGAGGCUGACUGCACGACCAAGGAGGCGCUGCGCCUCUUGUGGAUGUAUAUGUGUGAGUGUGUGAGUGUGUGUGAGCGGUUGUGAGGGUGUGUGUUUGCAUCACGACUGGGUGUGUGCCUGUCCGGAUGAGUGCACGAGUGCACGCGUGAGUGUGUGUGUGUGUGUGUGUGUGUGUGUGUGUGUGAGUGCUCUCGGUUUUUAUUUUUUUGGAAGAAAAAUCUUGGGCAGGUUACUGUACUCCUAGGGUGGUGGUUCUUCUGCAAGAGGAGUUGACCAGACCAAGCUACUAGAGACGUUUUUUUGGCGAGUAAAGAGAAUUUACUCCGAGAACAAGAGGGAUUUUUCCCCUGGCUCUGCAGCCCACAGAAAGAGAUUAGCCCCUACACCUGUGAAAUCAACCAGAGCCGUGUGGUUACCAGGGCUUGUGUGAGGACUCGGGAAGAAAAGGAGCAAUAAAUCCAACAGCCUGUCAGUGCCUUUGGCCACAUUAGAAGAUGUCAUCUCAAACUAAGUUCAAGAAAGACAAAGAGAUUAUCGCCGAAUAUGAAGCCCAAAUAAAAGAACUUUUGGUUACAACAACAAAAGCCAGCUGAAGCCGGUGGUGGUGAAAGUGGAGUUUUUUGGAAAGAUGCAAGAUGAUCUGUGGAACCCAGGACCUCGAAGCUAACAAUUAGCUGAUCAUCUGGCAAGCCAGUGAUUGAUUCAGUUGUCACCCUGUUUUAGGAACUUUUGCAUUGGAACAGAAGCCACAAAUGCCU
This 994-nucleotide long non-coding RNA is filed under the name Sus scrofa (pig). The record is from RNAcentral. Lineage: Eukaryota; Metazoa; Chordata; Mammalia; Artiodactyla; Suidae.